UUUUGUUGCCCAGAGGAAAUAAUAGGCAACGAAAAUAUAAUUUAUCGCCCGAAAGAUUUUAUUAUGCGACAAAGGUUCUGCAUUUGUUGCCCUUAAUCACGAAAAAACGACAACAACUAGCUGAAGUCGUCGCCCCAAAUACUGAAAAAAUGGCGGAAAUUUUUUACGCCUAAAAUGUGGCCCAAAAAUUCUAAUUUUGAAAAACCAAACAAUAAAAAUUGGAUAUACAGUAUACUUUGCAUCCCCCAUUUCCUCUAGAACCCGCACUUUCUCAACCUUAAUUUAUCAUCUUUAUCUUUUUCCUCCAUCUUCUUCGCUCUCUCCCAACACCAUCUUUAUCCUAGAUAUUGUUGAUGGCAACAAGCAAGGAAUGGACGCCCGACGAAAGAUCUAACACUCGCGGCCACAAGCCACAAGCACUUCGUCCAUCAAUUAUCGGGCUGUAAUUUGGAUAGAAUAUUGUUGUACAGAGGCGAGAGUUAGAUUUUGGAGCAAUGGAACUGCUUUCGAUUUUUUUGUCUCUAGUAAUACUUUUGAGCUCAAUACUAGCCAUAUUCUUCAUCAGGAACUAAAGGUCAUUAUUUUAUUUUGUAACAAAUUGAAGAACGUGAAGUACAUUUUGGAUAAAUUUUUUAUCUUUAUUAUGUAUAGUGGGUAUUUUCUAGUGAUUGAAAAUUUUAACUUUGUAUGUAUCAAUUUCCUUGUAGAACAAUAUAAAUAUUGUAGAUGUAAUUUUGAUUUUCUUGAUUGAAGUUGGAGAAGCAUGUAAUACUUAAUAAUGCGUAUGAUUGUUAUUAUUAUAUUGAAUAUAUUUUUUUAUGUCA
Long non-coding RNA from Chenopodium quinoa (quinoa), 824 nucleotides. RefSeq lists it as uncharacterized. NCBI's taxonomy places the organism in Eukaryota, Viridiplantae, Streptophyta, Magnoliopsida, Caryophyllales, Amaranthaceae. The record is from RefSeq and is a predicted model, not a curated record. The transcript has 3 exons.